This 429-nucleotide ribosomal RNA is filed under the name uncultured archaeon. RNAcentral describes it as "bacterial SSU rRNA". It matches the Rfam family "Archaeal small subunit ribosomal RNA", at positions 474 to 903 of the family's 1478-position model. The record is from RNAcentral.
UACCCGCAGUCCGAGUGGCAGGUCGAGUUUAUUGGGCCUAAAGCGUCCGUAGCCGGUCUGGCAAAUGCCUGGGUAAAUCGUCUGGCUCAACCAGACGAAUUCCGGGUAGACUGCCAGACUUGGGACCGGUUGAGGGAGAGGGUACUCCAGGGGUAGGAGUGAAAUCCUGUAAUCCUUGGAGGACCACCAGUGGCGAAAGCGCUCUUCCAGGACGGGUUCGACGGUGAGGGACGAAAGCCAGGGGAGCGAACCGGAUUAGAUACCCGGGUAGUCCUGGCCGUAAACGAUGCGGGCUUGGCAUUGGGGAUCCUACGAGGUGUCCAGUGCCGAAGCGAAGGCGUUAAGCCCGCCGCCUGGGAAGUAUGGUCGCAAGGCUGAAACUUAAAGGAAUUGGCGGGGAGCGACCGCAAUGGGAGGAGUGUGCGGUUU